Long non-coding RNA from Peromyscus californicus insignis, 7961 nucleotides. RefSeq lists it as uncharacterized. The record is from RefSeq and is a predicted model, not a curated record. The transcript is spliced from 7 exons. Lineage: Eukaryota; Metazoa; Chordata; Mammalia; Rodentia; Cricetidae.
CCAGCGCUUGAGAGUCAUUGACGAGCUGAGUCCCGGGCGAGAGCUAUGCGGCCGGCAGAGCCCGCGCUGAGUCUCCGCGGCGGCGGCGGCGGCGGCGGCGCCCAGCCCUGAGCCCUCCGGCGUCCGGGUCCUCAGCUCCAGGGCGAGGCAGCUCGGCUAUCUUUCUCUAGAAAGAGAGAGAGAGAGAGAGAGAGAGAAAAAAAAAAAGUUUGACAGUGACUCGAUUGUAUCUGGGGACCGGAUACACAGGCAGGCUUGAGAAAACACCGCCUACUUUGCAGAGUGAGGUAGCUGCGGUCUUCCUGAUGCAUUUCUGUUCACACGCGUUCGAACACACGUCGUCAGCUCGCACACACACACACACACACACACACACACACACACACACACACAUACACACACAGAGGCCAAGGGAGAUGCAGAUUUUCUGACUCCGUGCACUCAUCUGAAGGAGGUGCGGAGUGUGUGUGUGUGUGUGUGUGUGUGUGUGUGUGUGUGUGUGUGUACGCGUUUUCGCACAGAGCGUUGUUUAUUCCAGUGAGUGCCUGUGAAGUCCAGCGUUGGAGAGCGGAGUAGUGUGCAAGCUAGCGAGGGAGAAAACACGCCUGGAGCAACAGUAAUCAAUAUGUGACUUUCCUCAUCCUCAGAGAAAUCCCCGCUGUCCCCAGGCACCCAUGCAAGGAAAGUCACUUGAUUAUGAAAGUGUUUCAGAAGAAAAGCAGACGCCCGGUGGAGAGAGAGGCAGUGGCUCCUCGGAGGGAAAAGCCUCUCUUAAGACAUGUUUUGCAGCUUCAUGAAACUGCAAUCUGCUGAACGGUAUUAGGGGUCUACCCUUCAGCCAUCUCCUAUCAGCCCACACUGAAUGCACUCCAACGCCCCUUGACACCCAAUAGCUUUGUUGUCUGGUUCACCUCUGUUCAUCUUACUAAACUUCCAAAUAGCAAUCUGAUAUUUUUUCUAAACUAAAUAGUCAUUGAUGAUAUUUAUAAAAUAUUUUGUGCAUAAAAGCUGAACUGUUAGUCAAGAAUUUACAUCAGUAGGAGAUCAAUGAUUCAAAGAUGCCUGUUUUAUACAUACACACACCCACACCCACACCCACACCCCCCCCCCCCCCCCCCACACACACACUCCCCUGGCUCUAAAUUCCUCAUCUUCUACGACUGAACGGUCUCAAAACUUGCUUUUGCCUAAACUCCUAUCACAAACGUCCACAAGUCAAGACCGGUUUGCGUGUGAUCUAGCAGUCUCCAAAAAGGAAAGUGAUGCAUUGAAGUAGAGAAGAUGGUACUCUGCAGUGUUGCUUUGGGUGGUUCCUGCUCUCAGGCCAAGGACCAAGAUGAGAUGGAGUUGACUGCAUUUGUCCAAAUUCCAACUGACUAAUCAACACAAGAAAAGGUCCUGUUAUCUCCAGGGGAGGAUCAACUCUACUCUGCUGCCCCCAUGAGGUGCAGAACCUGCUCUUCUAAAUGCUGCAGCCAGUGAAACUCUCGUGACCCUGAGACCAACUCUUCCCUACUGCCAAAGGUGGCAAGGGCCAAGGCACUGAGGACUGUACCCAGGAGCCACAAAAGAUCUACUACUGAGCUUUCUCUCCAAUCCAAUAUACUUAUCCUGGUUGCUGAAACAGAGACCAUCACAUGACAGUAUGGACUUCCAGGAAUACUCCAACAAGGUUCUUUGUUAUGUCCAUUUAGGACUGCACCUAUGACUGAUAAUCUAAGGUUUGGGAGCAAAUACACUGGAACUAUAAUGGACAUCUACUUGCCAAACAUUUUCAUGGAAUGACUGUGAAAAUGCUCUGCACCAAGUAGUGUGACCAGCAGUCUCCGCUUCCUGUUGACAUGCGCUUCCACUUUAGACUGGUUCUUCUCUAGUUCUCAUCUAAAUUCAUCCCUUCUUCUUUCAAGACAUUUUGUUGCAACAUUGCAAACAGUAACAGGUAAGACCUUCAAAAGUCUUUGCCCUAGGAUCUAUGUGGAUGGUAUGUAUAUUAAUUGGACCAAAUUAUGCUAUUUGCAUUAUUUUUCUAAAUCUCUUUACUACCUGAUCAUCAUAAAAAGACUAAAUGUUGUUUAAAAUAAAAUUAUGAGUACAAUUUUAUGAUGCAAAUUUAUAAAUUGUGAAAAUGAGUUGAGAAAUUUCAAAUUAUUCCAACCUUAAUAUUAAAUAUUAACUACUUAUGGUUGAGAGCAAGAAAAGAGCCACAAUGGAAAAACAGCAUCAAAGAUAUUUUUCUCUUUGCUAUUGGCAAAAUAUGUUCAUUAAUUUUACAAAUGAAUAUAAAAUCUUCAAUGAAAUUUCCUUUCCUCAUGUAAACAGUUACUUUCACAAGAAAUAUUUAUAAUAGCUUACAUUUGAACCUCAUUAAAGUUUGAUCUCAACCUUUCUGUCGCAGAUAUUUCAGAGUUAGUGAUUCAAGUGAAGGCCAAUUUAAAACUCUAAUAGUCUUCAGGAAGUGAUUAAUGGGCAAAGAGCAUGUUUAGCUACAGCAGGUCAAACUUCUGCUCUUUACCCAUGGCACUUAAGAAUGUCUUUAAUAUACUAACAUGCAAAUGUCAGGUACAGGGGAUUACCAAAACUUAUCUUUGUCCAAAUAUUUGGUACCAUAAGCAGUAUAGCUCAGGGUUUGAACACUUUGGUUAUCCCUGUAGUACCCCAUGCUUACUUUCUUCACAAUUCUACUGAUGAUAUGAAUAAAAAUAGGAGAGAUGUUGGAGCAAGGGCUCAAUAGAUGAAGUACUUGUUGUACGAGCGUGAGGACUUGAAUUCAGAUCCCCAGCAUCCACUUGAAAAGUAAGUAUGGUGGUGUGCAUCUGAAAGCUCCACCUUGGGAAGGGGUAGGAAGGUGUGAAGACAGGUAGAUCCCAGAGGCUCACUAAUCAGUCUGUCCAAUCAUGGACCUCCAUUUUAGUGAGAGAUAUUUCCAAAAAAGGAGUGGGAUAGCAAUAGACACACAAAGGAUAGAGGAAGACACACAAAGUCAAUCACUGUCAUACAGCACACAUAAAUAAUACCUACACAAUUCUAACAGUAAGUUGGAAGUCUCUUAUAUUAACUAUCUGUUACUGUCCUCUCUAAGGUAGUAGUGAUGGUGUUGUAGAGAAAAAGAAGCAGUGGAUAAAUUCUGCCUUUCAUUCAAUUUAUCUAUCAGAUACUGCUGGAAGUUUGUAUAUUAUGUGUAAUACUUUUCAUCAUUCCAUUUCUAUACCUUAUUGGCUAUUUUAGAAUUUGUGAAUAAAUAGAAAUAUAUCUGUGUCACAUUAAUUUCCAGCAUGGAAGUUUGACUUGAACAUUAGGUACUUAUAUUACUUUACUAAUGUAUACCUUGUAUUUAGGGUUAUUAUCACAAUUGUAAGUUAAAUUAAAUUAGAGGAGUGUUGUCACAGCGUUUCAAAAGAAGCAUAUGCACCUAAUUCAUCUAGACCUGCCUUUGCUUCUCUAGGGGUGAAUAUGAUGAAGAAUCAAAGGGAAAAAUGUGGCCCGGUCAGAUGAUGUAUACUGCAGUGUUUGCGCCUGCUUUUGUUGUUUCUUUGCUAAAUUAAUCAAUGAUUUAUAUUUAAAGUAUCUAUAUCAUUUAUAGAAUCAAAAAUCCAUAGUAAUUUCAAGUUUUGAAAAUUGAUUAAAUAUUAUUAAUUCAUUUAUUUUCCACCCCAGUCAGAGUUUCCCUUCCCUCCUCUCCUCCCAGUCCCUCCCCUACCCCAUGCCCUCUUCUCCUACCCCCCAAAUCCACUCCUCCUCUGCUUUUGUUCAGGAAAUGGUAGGUCUCCCAUGGAUAUCAACAAAACAUGGCAUAUCAAGUUGCAGUAAGACUAAGUUCCUCCCAUUGAAUUAAGGCUAGGCAAGGCAACCCAGUAUGAUGAGUAGUAGGGUCCCAAAUGCCUGUAAAAGAGUCAGAGACAGCCUCUGCUCCCACUGUUAGGGGUUCCACACAUGUCACAUACAUGCUGAGGACUUAGGGCAGUCCCAUACAGGCUUGCUGGUUGUUGGUUCAGUUUCUGUGAAUCUCUAUGAGCCUGGGUUAGUUGAUUCUGGUUUUUCUUUUUUUCCUUUUCUUUUUUUUUUUUCAUAGUGUCCUUGACCCUUCUGGCUCCUACAAUCCAUUCUCCCCUCUUAGUCAGGAUUCCCUGAGCUCCACCUAAUGUUUGGCUGUGGGUCUGUAUCUGUUUGCAUCAGUUGCUCCAUGAAGCCUCUCUGAUGACAGUUGGGCUAGGCACCAAUCUAUGAGUAUGGCAGAAUAUCAUUAGGCAUUUGCACUGACAUUUUUUUCCCCUCAAGUAGAAACACUGGCAUUCCUUAAACAUACCUUAUAUUUUCCAUUUUAGUUAACACGCCUUCAGUAUGUCUUCUGUACCUGGUAAGAUCACAUCAGGGCUUUGAUAAUCAUAUUCUGAGAUGAUAUCUCUUCACACACAUCUCUUUUAAAUCCGUCAAAAAACAUCUCUACAAAUUCUGUUGAGAUCCUUUACAAUUAUAGAUGAAAUAGUUUUUCUUAGGCAAACUAGAUGACAUCUUUAUAACUGUUUAUGAUACAUAUUUUAUUUUAUUUUUAAAAUUCUUUUGCCUUUUAUUGAUUCUUUGUGAAUUUCACAUCAUGUAUCCCAAUCCCACUUAUUGUCCCAUCCCCUCACAACCUCCUUCUGCCCUUACAAUAUUCCCCCAAAACGAAAUAAAAUUUAAGAAAAAAUCCAAAGACCAAAUGUAACAAACAAAAAAGAAGGAGGAGGAGGAAGAGCAAAGCAGCAGCAGCAGCAGCAGCAGCAGCAGCAGCAGCAGAAGAAGAAGAAGAAGAAGAAGAAGAAGAAGAAGAAGAAGAAGAAGAAGAAGAAGAAGAAGAAGAAGAAGAAGAAAUGAAGAAACUCAUCGUGGAAGCUGGGUGUGGCCCAUUGAGUCACACAAGUUUCCCUUUAGUCCAUUCAUCUUUACUUACAAGUGUUAAUUUCCAGGAGUCAUUAGUCUGACUGGAGGCCUCUGGCUUCUGCUACACCGCCAAAAAUGGUCUCUCACUGAGGCUCCUCUUGGAUAUGCUGUUAUUGCCCUGUAUUAAUGGGGAUCCUGCUGGUUUGGAUCUGUAAGUUCACAUGCUCCAGCAGUUCAUAGAUGAUGUGGAUGUUGGGGUGGGCUAACUCAUAGCCCUGGUUCCAGGCCUGAGUGGUAGCUCGGUUGGUCAGACCACCAGCUUUCCCUCAUCUUCACUACCUGGGCAAGCUUUCCAGCACUACCUUGGCUAGCUCACCUAAUACAGUCCGCAGCAAGGAGCAAGGCUAGUUCUCCUCUCACGGCCUUAUGUCCAGAUUACCCACACUCAUCACCAGGGCCUAUUCUACUAUUUUGCCUAGGCAAGGUACGGACGGGGUCCUCUCUCCUCUUUGCUGUAAGGGAUAUGUGGGGGUUUGGGGUGUGUGUGGGGUCAGCUCUCCUGCUCUCAUCCCUUCAGGGCUGGCUCCUCUGCUCCCCUGGUAACAGGAUCAGUUCUAGUGUGCUGCCCAGGCAGGGUCCUAUCCUACCCCCACCCCCUAUAACCCCUAUAAUCAGUUCUAGUGUGCUACCUAGGUGAGGUGCACACCAGUGGUAAGGGAUGGGGCCAUCUUUCCCAAGUACAGGACGCCGGUUAUCCCCUGAAGGGAGGAUCCAGAUCUCCUGUUGCAGUAUCCAGCAAGGGGCAGGACCAGCUAUUCCAGGGUCAGUGAAGGGUGAGGCUGGUUCAGCAUAGCACGGUUCCAAUGGUGCUCUGUGCUACCAUGAACUAUGGACAUCAUUAUAGAUUCCAGCUGCAGCAGGACCAGAGACCCAGACAAGGCUCUCAGCAGAAGCUCAGGCCCAGAUGUCUCCAUGGCCCCACAAGCCCACUCAGAUCAGCAUGGCCCUGGUAGCUGCAUGACCCUUGGACACCCUAAUGGCCACAGGUUGUGUCUUAGACCUUGAGCAUCUGUGUGAUCUUUGGUGGCAACAUGGGCCAGGGACAUCAACACAGACCCUGGCUGUGGUAGGACCCCGGACCUAGAUAUAGUCCUCAGCAACAUCCUGGGCCCAGAUGUCACCACGACCCCCGGUGGCAGUGCAGUCUACUCAGACUGACAUGGCUUCUAUGGCUUUUGGAUACCAACAUGGCCCCAGGUGGCAGCCCAGACUCCAGGCCUCUGCAUGGCCCUCAGUAGCAACAGAAGCUCCAGACAUCAACACAGACCCUUUUGGCUGAUGCAGGGCAUCAGACCAAUACCCAGCCCUGGCAAUAGCCCAGGUCCAGACAUCAUUUUGGACUCAGGUGGCUAGCAGACCAUUCAUGUAGGCCUGUUCCUCAUCACCCUCACCUCUUCUUUAUGCUUCUCUUCCCAGCCCACGAAACCACUCUGCCACUUUCUCGCUUCCAUUUCCCCACCUUGCUCACAAUAAUAGUGCUAGAUGGCCUGGUGCCAGGAAUCCUGGUUGAGUCACAGGUGGCACUUGUUUGAGCCCUGCAUGCCCCAGCAGCAAGGCAUGGCACAGAGCUAUUGCUUUUCUUCUCUCGCAUACCAGGGCCAAACCACAGGUGGCGCUUGGUGUGAUGAUGCCUGAUUGCCUAGUGUGAGACAGGCUCUUGCUUUAUUGUGUCCUGCCCAGACCAGGAGGUCUGUGGGGGUGGGGAGCAUCUGUGUCCCUUGCUGGCUUAGGCCCAAAUUUUAUUUUUUUACACUACCUUUUUUAAUGUCUUACAUCACUUUUCUCCAUCUACAAAUAUAAAGACUUGAAAGAUAAAGGUAACAAUUGCAUUCCUUUGUAUACCACAAUAUCUAGCAGAUUGUGGUGCAAAUAACAUUAAAUAAAAAUUGGAUUAAUCUUCCUCAAGACCCAGCCAUACCACUCUCGGGCAUAUACCCAAGGAAUGCUCAAUCACACCAUAAGGACACAUGCUGAACUAUGUUCAUAGCAGCAUUAUUCAUAAUAGCUAGAACCUGGAAACAACCUAGAUGCCCCUCAACCAAAGAAUGGAUUAAGAAAAUGUGGUACAUUUACACAAUGGAGUACUACUCAGCAGUGAAAAAAAAUGAUAUCAUGAAAUUUGCAGGCAAAAGGAUGGAACUAGAAAAUAUCAUCCUGAGUGAGGUAACCCAGACUCAGAAGGACAAACAUAGUAUGUACUCACUCAUAAGCGGAUACUGGAUAUAAAGCAAAGGGUAAUCAGACUACAGCCCACAGCUGCGGAGAAGCUAGCUAGCAAGGAGGACCCAAAGAUGGAUGCAUGGGUUGCCCUGGGAAGGGGAAAUAAAUGAGAUCUCUUGAGUAAACUGGGGAUGAGAGGAGGCCAUGGAGAGUAGGGGAUGGGGGAUAAGAACAUAAGGGAAUGGGAUGGUUGAGCUGGAACAGGGAUGGAGUGGGAGAGCAACGAAAGAGAUAUCAUAAUAGAGGGAGACAUCACGGGUAUAGGGAGAAACUGGGUUUCUAAGGGAGUUCCCAUGAAUCCACAAAGAUAACCCCAGCUUAGACUACUAGCAAUAGUGGAGAGGGUACUUGAACAGGUUUACUCCAGUCAGCAGAUCAGUGAAUACCCUGUCAUCAUAGAGCCUUUCUCCAGUAACUGAUGGAAGCAGAUGCAGAGAUUCACAGCCAAGCAACAGACUGAGCUCCAGGAGUCCAGUCGAAGAUAGAGAAGAGGGAUUCUAUGAGCAAGGGGCAUCAAGAUCAUGAUGGGGAAUCCUAUAGAGACAACCAAACCAAACUAGUGGGAACUCAUGAAAUUUAGAUCAACAGCUAUGGAGCCUGCAUGGGACUGGACUAGGCCCUCUGCAUAGCGAGACCAUUGUGUAGCUUGAUCUGCUUAAGGAGGCCCCUGGAAGUAGGGUCAGAAUCCAUCCUUGGUGCAUGAGCAGGCUUUUUGAAGCCCACUACCUAUGACAGGAUACCUCACACAGCCUUGAGGCAGGGGGAGGGGCUUGGACCUGCCUCUACUAAAUGUACCUCCCCAUGGGAGGCCUUAACUUCUUGUA